RNAcentral lists this ribosomal RNA (440 nucleotides) under uncultured bacterium. Its description in RNAcentral is "partial 16S ribosomal RNA". It matches the Rfam family "Bacterial small subunit ribosomal RNA", at positions 338 to 795 of the family's 1533-position model. The record is from RNAcentral.
CCUACGGGAGGCAGCAGUGGGGGAUAUUGCACAAUGGGGGGAACCCUGAUGCAGCGACGCCGCGUGGGCGAUGGAGUGCUUCGGCAUGUAAAGCCCUAUCAGCAGGGAAGAAAAUGACGGUACCUGACUAAGAAGCCCCGGCGAAAUACGAGCCAGCAGCCGCGGUAAUACGUAGGGGGCAAGCGUUAUCCGGAGUUACUGGGUGUAAAGGGAGCGUAGGCGGCGUGGCAAGCCUGAUGGGAAAUACCGGGGCCCAACCCCGGGGCUGCAUUGGGAACUGCCAGGCUGGAGUGCCGGAGAGGCAGGCGGAAUUCCUAGUGUAGCGGUGAAAUGCGUAGAUAUUAGGAGGAACACCAGUGGCGAAGGCGGCCUGCUGGACGGUGACUGACGCUGAGGCUCGAAAGCGUGGGGAGCGAACAGGAUUAGAUACCCGAGUAGUC